Carassius carassius (crucian carp) is the source of this 426-nucleotide long non-coding RNA. RefSeq lists it as uncharacterized. The record is from RefSeq and is a predicted model, not a curated record. The transcript is spliced from 2 exons. Lineage: Eukaryota; Metazoa; Chordata; Actinopteri; Cypriniformes; Cyprinidae.
GAAUGAAUCGGGUCCUUCAGCUAUUGGAACGGGGCCAUGUGUUGAUCAGGCCCCAGAUGUCAUUGACGUGUGUUUUCUUCAAAAGCAAGACGGGGGACUUGUCUAUAUGCUGUCCAAUGAUGCCUGUCUGAGCAGACCUAACAUGUUUGAAGGAAGCAUAAUUUCCAAAAAUCCACAGGGACCCUGUAUAUCCCAGGACGGCAGCCCUCUCUUAUUGCUGGAGACAUGAACACAGGUAAAAAGAAGAAUAUAACUAAUUUAUUGCAUUUUUACUUCUUAACCUCAACUUUUCAGUGAUUUCCAUCUCUGUUUUCCCAAGAGGUGCAUGGAGGAAAGCAGUCUAAUUACUAAAGUUCCUGACUGCUUACUCAACUUUCUCUUACGAAACUCUGUGCAAACGUUUUCAUUUUAUCAGACUAGGAAACC